CAGUCGCCGCGGUAAUACGUAGGUGGCAAGCGUUGUCCGGAAUUAUUGGGCGUAAAGGGCUCGCAGGCGGUUUCUUAAGUCUGAUGUGAAAGCCCCCGGCUCAACCGGGGAGGGUCAUUGGAAACUGGGAAACUUGAGUGCAGAAGAGGAGAGUGGAAUUCCACGUGUAGCGGUGAAAUGCAUAGAGAUGUGGAGGAACACCAGUGGCGAAGGCGACUCUCUGGACUGUAACUGACGCUGAGGAGCGAAAGCGUGGGGAGCGAACAGGAUUAGAUACCCCCGUAGUCCCUGUCUCUUAUAC
This 301-nucleotide ribosomal RNA is filed under the name uncultured bacterium. RNAcentral describes it as "partial 16S ribosomal RNA". It matches the Rfam family "Bacterial small subunit ribosomal RNA", at positions 509 to 807 of the family's 1533-position model. The record is from RNAcentral.